Molecule: long non-coding RNA, 34719 nt
Filed under: Sorghum bicolor (sorghum)
Lineage: Eukaryota; Viridiplantae; Streptophyta; Magnoliopsida; Poales; Poaceae
Description: long non-coding RNA (SBIC_LNC018369)
Source: RNAcentral
ACUUGAAGAUCUGUAAAUAAUGAUAAUGAUAAGUGUAUGACUUGGAAGCUCUGUAAGUAAUAAUAAAAGAGUAUCACUAGUCAAUGAAAAAGAAGCAAUAUGUCCACUACACUUACUAAAAACAUGCACAAUAUCAGGCCAGCCCAAAAUACUCCAAGACGCGCUGAAAAUAGCAGAGGUAGGUAUCAUAGGUGUUAAAAAAAUCUCAUAGGUAGAAAACAUAGAGACUUACAUGCACAAUAGAUUUAUUGAUGCCGCAAUCUUCACCAAAAAUUGCAUCAAUUCGAUACUGUAGUGUCAAUAUUUCCAUAUUAAUGGUUCUGAUAUCCUUGUAAAGUUUAUUGAGUCUUCUUCUGCACUCAUUUAGUUGACUCAUCCUUACAUCUGAUGAAGCUUGACUGCUAGAGCACUCAUCUUCUUCACUGAGAAUAUUGCCAUUUCCAUUUCUGGGAUACAACAAAAAUCUAAUCAGUAAGUCAUGGUGUCCAUGAUAGUUUCACCAAUGACUAGACAUAUACCCUCUAGUUUUGUUUGAUAGUCCAUUUCUGAGAUACACCAAUAAAUUAGCAAAUUCAUUACCUUCUAGUGUUGUUUAGUAAACAACAAAAGCAGAUACCCAGUCCAAUCACCGCAUGUAGUCCAAUCAUCAUGUUCAUCUAAGGGAAGACAUUGAAAUAAUAUCAUGCAUUGAAAUAAGACUUGGGUCUUAAUUUGCAUGAUGCACAAUUGUAAUCAUAGGACCUACCAAGAACAUGGUAGUUUGCAUCUGCAGUAAAGAAUAUUUUUCUGUUUCCACAGUUUGUAGUAUUCUGAUACACAGAAAUAAAUAGAUCAAUAAAUAAACUCAUAAUCUACAAUAAUUUUCAGUAACUAUAUACAUAGAGAAUUACCUGGUAAUGCUCAUUGAUGCCACCAGUCCAAUCAACAAUUGUACUAAGAUCAAAACUCGUAGUAUCAUCCUCUAAGGGAAUGAAACACAGAUAAAGGCAUGAGAUUAGACUAACCUUGACCACUAAACUAAGCCUUUGGUAAAGGCAACAGAUCAAGGCUAUGCAAAUAACAAAUUACUCCAUAUACUUGUUGCUGCACUUAGCUUAGCUGACAACUCGGAUGAACCACAAAAUCUAUAUUACCUUUCGUCGCAUUGCAGACUACAAAAUUUCGCCGGAGGAGAGCCCGCCGCGGGGCGCUUGAGUUCGCCGGUGGGGAUGAGUCGGCUGACUGCUCGUCUCCUCCAAGCUCCGGCUACAUGAAAAAUCAAAGCCGUAUACACCAUUCUGGGUGACUAUAAAAGAUCAAAGUCGUACACACAAAAUGGAUGUUAGUUGACCGAAACAUCCAUUCUAUGACACUAAGUCCCGUUUUUAUCCCUAUCAUCUAUUUUCGGUACAAAAUGCCGAUCACUUAAUCAGCUCAAUUUCCAUUUCAGCAUCAAACAUCCAUUCUAGCAUCCUAAUCGCUUCUAGGAUAUGAUAUAUCUGAUAAACAGAAGUUCAUACAGAAAACUACUAAGUUACACAUUCAUACUUCAUCAGUGCAUCAUAGCACUUUGGAUGGUUCUGAUUGGCUUCAUUCAGAAAGUGCACAAGCAGUUGCGAAUCAGAUACGAAGGUAGUGUUGUUGAAGUUUAGCAGAUCAUUGAUUGCGAGGUAGGAGAAUGAUCUUUGGCCAGUAGUGUGCUGGCUUGGUAGUGUCGUCUGAUCUGCAGAACAAGAGUGUGCAUAUCUUGGACCACUUGAUCACACAAAGGAUGCCCACCUGGAAGGCUUUGAGACAGCAACCCUCUUGAUGAUAGAAACUUCACACGCACUUGAGAGUUUAGCAAGUUCAAAUCCGAUUGAUUGAUUGAUAUGCAGAAUACAAAUCUGAUUGAUUGACAUGCAGACCAUAAAAAAUGUGUAAUUUUCCGAUGUCUUCUGUUCUCGAUCGAUGCAAAGCUGACAUCGACGCAGACACUGCUUCCUGUACAUGAGAGCCGCAGAUGCUUGUUCAGAACUUCAGAUUUGUACAGUGAUGAAGUGACGAUCGAUCAGCUCCUCGUCCCCGUCCAAGGUUUCCAGAAACUCCAGCUCGCUGAAGCCGCCGCGUGUUUCCGUCUCCCUGGCCCUGCUAGCCACCAGACCACUGAUCUCUGACGACGACGACGUUCCAGUCGACGCCGGCGCCGCGGCGAACUCGCGUCCACCAUGUACAUGUGGCAAUCGCAAGCAUGGGGCUUGGCCUGCAAGCGCAGUCGGAAAGAAAGCCGCGGGCGGCCGCGCGUCGCCGCACUCGUCGUCGCAGUCGCAGUGCGCGGCGGCGCUAGCAAUGAUCUCGUCCUGCCUGUCGCGGAGCCACAAGUCAAGGCUAAGCGAGGACAGCGGCGAGGGUAGCCGCCUCCUCCGCGGCGUGCCGCGGCGGAGUGUCUCCUUGCAGUGGGCGAUGGCGCUCGCCACGGCCUCCGCGCGCUCGCGGGCCGUGUCGUCGACGGCGCCCCUGCGUGGCGCUGCCGCCGUUUCCUUGUUACCGGCCCUGGCCUUCCUCAGCCGCCGGGAGAUCCACCGCAGGUGCCUCCCCACCGCGUACCCCUUCGGCGCCACGCUCGCCGCCGGCGCCGCAUCCUCCUCGGCAUGGAUAUUGGACGCGCGCGCGAGGGCUUUGCUGGAGGUCCACAGCCGCAUCCCAGCGCCACCCGCGCCGAAGCACAGCGCCGAGGUGGAGGUGGAUGGGCUCCGCGGACCGGGUGUGCUGAAACUGAAGGCGUCGGCGCUCGACGAGGAGGACGCCGAUGAGGAGGAGCCCGAGUCUGUUUCCUUAUUAGUGCCGGCGCCGCCGGCCGCGCGGAACGACGGGGACGACGGCGAUGGGAAGUCAGGCUCGGAGGGUGCAGGCGUCGCGGCCGUGGCCACCGUCGUCGUGCCCACGGCGUACGGGGACAGCCAAUUCAUGGCGGCGGCUAGUGAGUGCCGGUGCCUCUCGUAGGAAUGGAGUUGGAGGAGUGCGUGUGCAUCGAUCGGUGCAUGCAUGGCAUUGUUCAUGGCAUGGCGGCGUGUCUUUAUAUUCACGUCGUCAUCAUUCACGACGGUGCGUCCUCCUGGAGAGUGGCAGAUGACAAGCAUUCUUGCCAGAAAUGGUUCGCUUGGGGGCGUGUGAGUAUAUGGAAGGUCCUUCCCAAAUCCAUGGCAGCAACAGCCAGUAGGGCAGUACUGUCAUUCCAUAACAGCAACACGCGUUCAAGGUUGGAAUUAAUUUCUGGUGGAGCAUGAUUUGCAAUCUUGCAUUAAUACGUCAUUCUUCAUGACCAUGUAUUUGAGUGAGGAAUUAUAUUUCCAGCACAGAAAUUAAAAUUAUGGGUACCGAUUUGAGGGGACCCGGCAAACAGUGAAGAGGAGCCAAAAGUGAUUCCAGGAAUAAAAUGUUAAGGAGCAAAAUGCUUGAGUUGGACACAUGAAAUGAAUUAUGCAAUGCUUGAAUUAAAAGUUGUGCAGCAAAUGGAUUUAAAUAUAGUAUUUACAAAAGUUGUCCUCAAAACUUUUUGUCAAUUACAAAGUACAAAUUAAUAACCUACAGCCUACUAGCGUAGUGACAUCAAAUGCUUUCCGAAUUAUUAAGAGCAAGUUUGGCAUACCACCACCCCUAGACCCAAGCAUGAUUUGAUGUUAAUCAGAUAGAAUAAAGUAUGUGUUUAAUCAAAUUUAAUACACAUCUCCUAUAAUUCAGGAGCCUGAACAGUUUUGUCCUUGUCUUUCCAUAAAAAAAUUGUAAUUUGUUUAUUGUGAUAUGUGUUAAUAGAUUUGGGCUGUUGGAUGGAAAUCUCAUGGUUGUAAGCUAUCGCUUGAAUAGAUGCUAUAUUUCAAGCACCUUAAAUAUAUAGCAUUUCAAAAUUUUAAUAAAAAUUGCUUAACUAAACUAAAUAUCUUCAGUGUGCCACAGCCCUCACCUCCAGCUCCAAGAAUUUUUGGAGCUAGACCGGCUCAGAGCGUGCUUACGCCUUUGUUAGAUUGAUGGAAAAACAACUUAAGCUGUGAUUAAUUAUGUAGCUUCUGGAAUACGUUCAGUGUUGAGCUGACACGAUUUUUUUUUAAUUCAUAUCUAAUCGUGCUUCCUUUCCAUAUCCAGCGGACUCUGCUUCCAGGACACAUGAGAUGAGAUCCGCUUCUUCAGAUCUCCAGUGAUGAAAUGGUGAUUGAUCAUCUCCUCGUCCCCAUCGAAUGUUUUCAGAAACUCCAUCUCGUCCAAGCUGCGGCUGCUCAUCGACGAUUCGCCACGGCAAUCUGCACGAAUGCAUGGAGAGCCAAUGCAACGCAUUAAACGAUAGACGAUGCCAGUGCAUCUGGAUUGCAUUCCAUGGUAUGCCGGCCGGGUGGCUAGCACUAGCAGAGACACCUAGUACCGUGGCCGUGAUGCGGUUCCGGUGACUCCUCGUCGUGCACGACGGCGCACGAGGCGGCGGCGAGCGAACUGUCCCGGCUUGGCGAGGCCGAGCACGGGCACGGCGACUCCUUGAAUCGCUUCGCCAUCGUCAGCAUCCCGAGGCCGGGCCAACCGGCGGCCCGGCGAGGACGCGGAGGUGAGGGCCCUGGGUCACUGCAGUCGUCGCAGUGCACGGCGGCGGUCGCGAUGAUCUCCUCCUGUCUGUCGUGGAGCCACUCGUCUAGGCUAGGCCGUGUCAUCAGCGGCGGCGGCCAUGGGUGAUGGUGACCCAUUACCGUCGCUCCUGGCCUUCCUCUGUCCCUGCCGAUCACGUCUCCUUUGACCUUGGGUGCCGCAUCCUGCUUCUGCGGCUGCUUCGCGGGCGCUCGCGCGCGGGAGCACCGCAGCAGCAGCCUCCUCCCGACGCCGACGCCGCCGCUAGCGCCGAAGCACAGCGGCGUAGUGGAGGGGCUCUCCUGGCGAGACCGGGACUUAAAGAAUCCGGAGUGGCGACCGUAGUCGCUCGACGACGAAGACGGGGAGGAGAGGGAGGAGCCCGAUCCGGCCGCAUUGGUGCUGGACGACGGGGACGACGACGCGCGGUCGAGCUCAGAGGAGUUGGCCGUGGCCAUCUCUACUGCAAAGCACUGGGCGCCGGGGAACAGGCACGCCGCGAGGAACUGGAUCAGCUGCAUGGCGGCCGGCGAAUGCUCGGCACGACGGACUUUUGGGUUUUAGUUUAGCGUGGCGCGGCAUCUCUUAUAUAUACAGGCAGUGAUCGAUCACGGGUCACGGCGGCGUCCCCUCCGAGAUGCCAGAAACGAACCAAGAGUGAGGCUAAUUUUUUUUUCGUGCUCAAUGCAGUACACUAAUAGAUAUAGCUAAGAUUGAUAAUUCAAUAUUGAUUCAAAGUGUUUAAAGGCAAAGAUUCAUAGAAUAAGCAUAGAAAAAUACCAAAUAUAUAGAAUCUUUUGCAAAAAAGAAAACUUGUUAAAAGAUUUUUGAGUCCAAGAGGGGGCUACAGCCACCCCAGCCACCCCCUUGGGUCCGCCAAUGCUUGUGCCUACCUAAAAAAACAAGCAUCCGGUAGUCUCGAACUGGAAGGCUCCUUCCAAUCCUUCCAAAUCCAUGGCAGCGGUUGCCUUCUUCUGUUUCCAUCUUCCAUAUACAUGGGCGUGGUUAAAUUACUCUACCAUAUUUCCAUUUCCGGAACCUAAACCUAACUAAUACUUAGUUGUUUCCAUUUGCUCAUCCGGUGAGGGCACUCACAAUGCAAGACUCUAUUAUAGAGUCCAAGACAAUUCAUUAUAUAUUAUUUAUAGUAUUUUCCUGAUGUGGCAGCAUAUUUAUUGAAGAAAGAGGUAGAAAAAAUAAGACUCCAAGUCUUAUUUAGACUCUAAGUCCAUAUUGUUCGAGGUAAUAAAUAAUUUUAGACUCUAUGAUAGAGUCUGCAUUGUAAGUGCCCUGAUAGAUCCUCAUCUUCUUCUGGCUCAACUCCCUUUUUCAUAUCCAAUGCAGGUUAGGUAUGCUUUAGCUUGAAAUCAUUAAAGAUAUGGUCGACCUCGUUUACAUCCAUGGUACCAUUGUAUGUACCUUCUACUAUCAUCCAGAUGAGAUAGGGAUUCAAAAGGUCAGAGCCAGUCUCCUCGUUCUUUUAGGUCGUUUAAUAGUUCCCCAAUCGGCUUUCUCGCCGAGAAAGCCUUCCUUCAUUAGAUUAAAAAACCACACUGAUAGAUCAUUAUUCAUUAUUAGGUCAUGUUUGCAUGCAUGUAUAUUCACUUCGCUCCACAUGUCUUGGAGUGAGUUAGAAUGUAAUUUAAUUCUACUCUAAUUCACUUCAUCACAUGUGGAUCGAGAUGAAUAUCAAUGCUUGACUGUAUAGUAGCCUUCCUAUGACUAUCUUCCAUGUCGCAGGGGCAAAGGCAGGCACGUUUGGUGCAGAGAUUGAUGACAUGGUCCAAAACGGGCUAGCCCAAUGGGCGGCACCAAACAUAGUCGUAUUAGACACGCCUUGGUAUCAUUGUUAACAAGAUCAGCCCAACCAUAGUGUUGUGUUGGGCCGCUUAUUUAGCCUACAUUGUAUGCAUGUGAAUAAAACAUUGGAAAACUUGGACCAAAACUGCGACGGUGAUGUCUUUGCUCUUUCUACUUAUAGAAAUUGCUCAGCGGCUUCCACCGUGUAAGGAAAAUGGACUAUCGACCCAUUUAGUUUGGAGUUUGGUAUUUGAUGAUCAAUAAGACCAAGUUGAAAAUGUAUUUGCAAGUGUUUAUUUUUUGAGUAAAAUACACUGACAACCCUUUAACUUGUCGCCAUGUGCCACUUUGGUCCAUGAACUUGCAAACGCGAAAAAGUGCCUCCUGAACUUGUCGAUCCGUGCCACAUUGAUCCAUGAACAUGCAAAUACGAGAAUAACACCGGCUGCAUGGCACUGUUCUGCCACAUGGCCGCCUCUGGUAGGCCAUGCAUAUCACCGUUUAUGGUGAUGAUGUCAGCACUUCUUUUUAAAUUUACGAAAUUGAUAUAUUUUUAUUUGUAGCGCCAAAUAUAUCAAUUUUAAUCGCCUCGUCGAGCUCUUUCUAAUGGUGUACUCUGUUUUGUUGUUUGAGAUAGUUUUAUUUAAACAUUUUGUACAUGUUGAUAUCGUCAUAAAACAUCUAUAAAUCAAUUUUCAUAAUUUUUUAAUAUUUAUUUUGGCCUACAAAAAAUCAUAAAAGUUGCAUUAUUAAUUAAAAGAGAUAAUUUUAAAACAAGCAAAAAUUAUUCGUUUUCUAGGUUUCAUAUUUUUCCAGCAGAGUACAUCAUGAAGAGGCUACACAAAACAUUGUAUUUUACACUUAUUUUUUAGUCCAAUAGGUUACCAACAUGACUUGGACAGAACAACAUGGUGAUCCACCUCAAGUAAGGCAUUUAGAAGCAUGUUUGAAGACUCAAUAGAUCAAGCAAAGUUCAAGCCACAACGUCAGAACCAAUCCGGACGCAAAAGAUUGCAAGAAAGAAAAAAAGGUAGGCGUCGGAUUGAUACAGUAAAGGGCGUCGGACCAGAUGUGACCACUAUAUUCACACUAUGGAGGAAACACAACAGGAGCAUCGGACCAUGCCUAGGCGUCAGACUGCUAUAGUACCAUUGGACCGCUACAGUACCUAGCUAGGCGUUGUACCGCUACAGUGUGUAGUCCGAUGGUGGUUUGGUUUGGGUUCUCCUGAGAGGUGUGCCAGGCGUCGAACGUAGUCCGUGGAUGGGGUGUCAGACUAGUCCGACAGUGAUCCCGCAUGUCAGCCUUAGGCGCACAACAACGGUUGGCAGCAAUGGCUACUGACACAGUGACCGUUGCAAGGCGUCAGACUGCUACAAUAUUAGUCUAAUGUUACAGUGCAACUCGUCUGACAGUAUGUAGAAUUGUCCAUCCAAGCUACCAAUGACUCUAUUUGCAAUGGGGGCUAUAAAUAUGAGUUCCAACCAGCCAAAUAAGGUGCAGAGGAGUAAGGAAAUAUACAAAGGGUGUUGAUACACUAUUUUCAGUGCUAUCCACAUGCAUAGUGCUUAGAAAAAAAAUCGGUGAUUAGUGUAUGUGUUUUUGCGAAGAGCUUAGGUUAGUUAGAUCACACUCGUAUGCGCUUGCUCUAGGUUUAGGUAUAGGUUGAGUGAGGUUUGCACUCCUCUUACCUUUGUUGAUUGUGUGCACCAUUGUUGUACAUCUCAGAGGAUUGUAAGUCUUGCGGGACAAUACCAAUUGUGUUUCUGGUGUGCCUGCCACCGUGUACGGAACAAGGUAUGUGGCGUUUUGGCCAGAAGCUUGAUAGCGAAGACAACGGAGAGCAUCUAGGAGAGGCUUAGCAGAAGGCACGUCAAAGACCCACUUGCGCGUGGGAAAGGUCCUAGGCUAUCCACAAAGUUACCCGAUCAGGAUUUUGGCUCUUGCGAGGGUUACAAAGACAGGGAGAAACAUGAGCUUCUUAAUACCUCGGUAAAAACACUAGAGUCACUGAUAGGAGUUUGCAUCUCUAUUGUUCUUUUAUCUUCCGCAUUAUAUUAUGUAGGUUAGUUAUGUGCUUACUUUCCUAACUUAGUUUGAUAGGCUAGUUGAUAGAAUUGGAACCUAGGGUGCAUAACUCUUUUGCGAUAGAGAUAGCAGCACACCUAGCAAAAUCAUAGGGCCUGUUUGGUACAGCUCACAACAGCUUCAUGAGCUGUUGUGAGCUGUUUUUUUUUUGCCAAACACUUAUUUCCAAAACAGCUUCAUGGGUGAAGCUGUUUUUCCCCUCCUCUCACAAAAACAUAAGUUGUAUGAAGCUGAAAAAUAGUAGCUUAUUGUAGCUUCUCCCUCAUUUCUCUCUCUCAACUAUGCAUGAAGUAGUUGGUGAAGCUAUUUUGCCAAACACUUUUUCCAAAACAGCUUAGCUUCAUCUAGAAAGUCACUCAUGAAGCUAUUUUCUAAAAAAACAGCUUCACUAGUGAAGUUGAGCUGUGCCAAACAAGCCCAUAGUUGCACAAUUAGAUAGUUUAUUUAUUUGCAUAGAUUUUGUUAAAGUACAAAUUAGACUCCGUAGUUGCCUAAUUCACUUUCUCUCUUAGGUGUCACGGUCCUUACACAUCACUUUAUGUUCCGUUCCGGAAAAGUUUACAGUCUUGGUAUUCUUUACUGCGGUCAGGCUGGUAUUUCAUUCCCUCCAAUCAGAAUUGUAGUUGGUGUCCAGUUAGCUCAGCCGCCUGUUCUUUGCUGCUAUGUGUUGUUUGCCAAGGAGUCGUGUUACGUGUGCGUGGAAUACUUCGGAUUUGGCCAAGGAGUCGUGUCACGUGCGCGUGGAAUACCUCGGAGACGUAACCUGUCAGUAUUCAUGGGCACAUGCUAACUGCAGCAUAUCUUUUGUUUCGCCCGACUUGGUGCUCAGAUUGCGUUGAUCACCAAUUCUCACCAGCGUUGGUGUUGAUUGGUGAAAGGGAGGCAGAUGGAGUCAGUCGCCGUGGUGACCGUUCCCUUCCCGGCGCAGGGCCACCUGAACCAGCUCCUGCACCUGUCGCUGCAGCUCGCGUCGCGGGGCCUGCCCGUGCACUACGCGGCGCCCGCGGCGCAGGUCCGCCAGGCCCGCGCGCGCGUGCACGGCUGGGACGAGGACGCGCUCCGCUCCGUCGAGUUCCACGAGCUCGGCAUCUCCGAGUACGUCUCCCCGCCGCCCGACCCCACCGCGCCCUCGCCCUUCCCCACGCACCUCAUGCCCCUGUUCGAGGCCUACACCGCCGGCGCGCGCGCCCCGCUCGCGGCGCUCCUCGCCAGGCUCUCCGCCUCGCACCGCCGCGUGGUCGUGGUGCACGACCGCGUCAACGUGUACGCCGGCGAGGAGGCCGCGCGGCUGCCCAACGGCGAGGCGUUCGGGCUCCACUGCCUGGCGGCGUCGACGCUCGCCGUGACGACGGGCGCCGGGCUCCGUCUCCUGCGUGAGCGCGGCCUGGCGUUCCUCGACUUCGCGCACUCCACGUCGAGGGAGUUCGCGGAGUACGUCGCCAAACGCGCGAUGCCGACCAAGGAGAUCUCGCCUGGCGCGGGCAUCCUCGUGAACUCAUGUCGCACGCUCGAGGGCGAGUUCGUGGACGUCGUUGCAGGCGACCUUGCCGCCGACGGCAAGAAGUACUUCGCCAUCGGGCCCUUAAACCCACUGCUCCUCCACCUCCGCGCGGACUCCCAGAAGCCGCGUCACGAGUGCCUGGACUGGCUGGACAAGCAGCCACCGGAUUCGGUUCUCUACGUGUCGUUCGGCACGACAUCGUCGCUGCAGACGGAGCAGAUCGCAGAGCUUGCAGCAGCGCUGCGCGACAGCGACCAGCGGUUCGUCUGGGUGGUGCGCGACGCAGACCGCGGCAACGAAUCGGCGGACGACGACGAGAGCCAGAACAACAGACACGCGGAGCUGCUGUCCAAGUUCACCAACCAGACCCGAGGGAGGGGCAGGGUGAUCACCGGGUGGGCGCCGCAGCUGGAGAUACUGGCGCACGGCGCCACGGCGGCCUUCAUGAGCCACUGCGGCUGGAACUCGACUAUGGAGAGCCUGAGCAACGGGAAGCCUAUCCUUGCGUGGCCCAUGCACUCCGACCAGCCGUGGGAUGCGGAGCUGGUGUGCAAGUAUCUCAACGCCGGCAUCCUUGUGCGCCCCUGGGAGAAGCACGGUGAGGUGAUUCCGGCGGAGGCCAUCAGACAAGUAAUCGAGGUUGCCAUGCUUUCUGACCAAGGAGUGGCAGUGCGGCAGCGAGCCAAGGUGCUCGGAGAGGCCGUCCGUGCCUGCCUGACUGACGGCGGCUCAUCGCGCAAAGACCUUGAUGAUUUCAUUGCUCAUAUCACAAAGUAACCGUCUAGUCGAAGUUAAAAUUUUAUCGAAUACUUUGAAAUUUGUUCUUAGUUGCCGGAUGGGCAACAAUCUCAAGCCUCUAAGAGCAGAGCCUAGAGCUAGGCGAAUAAGAGCUUUUUACCUGUAUGCCAUUAUAAAAGUUCAAAAUAAUUUGUGCAUCAUCGAAGUUUUAAAAAGCUCCCUACUACAGUUGUAUAAAAUUUUCUUUCUCCAUGUGCCACUUCGGUUAAUUUCGCUUGUAACAGCAGGUAACGGCCAGCGGAAAAGACGAUUUUGCCCUUGAUAAUAAAAUGCAUCAAAUUUUUUGUUCUUUCCUUAGGUUCACUAUAUUCGAUUCAAAAAAUCACCCUUUUCUCUGACUAUUAUGAUUCAAAAUUUUGUCAUAAUGGUACAGAGAAAAGGGUGAUUUUUUUUAAUCAUAGGAAUAUAGUGGCACACUGGCACCUAAGGAAAGAAUGAAAAAUUUGAUGCAUUUUACAACUGAGGGCAAAAUUGUCUUUUUAGUUGGCCAUUACAUGCUGUUACAAGCAAAAUUGAUUGAAGUGGCACCAGGGAACGAAAAUUGUAUACAAGGAUACUGAGGAGCUUUUUCAAACUUUAAUAGUAUACAAGUCAUUUUAAACUUUAAUAAUGGCGCACAGGUAAAAAGCUCGACCAAUAAACGUGUAAUGGGUUUAGAAUGGGUAAACAUAUACAUAGUUGUUAGCACUGAUCGGGUAAGGAGAGGAUAUCAAUUGUAUGGACACCAAUUUUUUUCCCCAAGCUACGCAUAACUAACUCGUCUCCAAACCAGCAAAACUCAACUCGCUAAGGAAAAACUCUAGACAAGAAAAACUCUAUCUAGAAAAAGAACCACAACCACAACUUGCCAAGGGCCUUAACACUGAGCACACUUACAAUAUCACACGGUCCUGUCGCUGCAACAGCCCCAUCCGUCUCUCUUUUACUAUACUAGUAGCCAUGACACAUGCCAAACGUGUUUAAAAAAAGGAUUUUAUAUGUAUAUCAUUAUAAAAGUUAAUAUUUGUCUAUAAGUCAUUAAAAAAGUUACGCUUUUAGAGGUGCCACUGUCCCGAACUCUUUUGCUCUCUACGGACUCUAACGGUGUUAAACUGCAGGUAUAAAAAGUUAAAAAUAUCCUCAUGUUUAAGUAUCCAAUUAAUUUUUUAAGCAUUUUAAUGAUCUCAAAUGUGAAAAAAACUCAAAACUAGAACUUUUUAAAAAAUCCACAGAUUAUCUAGAGCUAGACCUUUGCCAAAAAGAGGCUAAAGCUGGUUAAUUCUCUAGCUCCUGGAAGCUGGAAUCCGUUCAGUGUUGGUAAUAUACUAAGCUGUCAAGAAUUUCCUUUUCAUAUAUAAUCGCUUUCUUUUCAUAUCCGGCGGACUCUGCUUGCCCGCUUCUUCAGAUCUCCACAGUGAUGAAAUGGUGAUUGAUCAUCUCCUCGUCCGCAUCGAAUGUUUUCAAAAACUCCAUCUCGUCCAAGCUGCUCAUCGACGAUUCGCCACGGCAACCUGGACGUAGAGCCAACGCAUUAGACGAUAGACGUAGCCGGCGCAUCAGGGAUUCAGGGUUGCAUUGCAUGGGAUGCGCGGGUGGCUAGCUAGCAGAGACAACCUACCGUGGCCGUGAUGCGGUUGCGGUGACUCCUCGUCGUGCGCGACGGCGCACGCGGCUGCGGCGAGCGAACUGUCCCGGCUUGGCGAGGCCGAGCACGGGCACGGCGACUCCUUGAAUCGCUUCGCCAUCGUCUGCAUCCCAAGGGGCCAUCCGGCGGCCCGGCGAGGACGCGUCGGCGAGGACCGUGGGUCACUGCUGCACUCGUCCCAGUGCACGGCGGCGGUCGCGGUGAUCUCCUCCUGUCUGUCGUGGAGCCACUCGUCAAGGCUAGGAGAGGGUGGCGGCGGCGGCGGGGACGGCGACCGCGAGCGCGAGCGCGAAUUGCCCCGCCGGAGCGUGUCCUUGCAGUACGAGAUGGCGCGGGCCACGGACUCGGCCCUCUCGCGGGCCGUGUCAUCAACGGCGGCGGCCAUUGGUGACGGCGAUCCCUUACCGUCGUCGCUCCUGGCCUUCCUCAGUCUUCUCGAAAUCUUGCGCAGGUACCUCCCGACCACAUCUCCCUUGAUCUUGGGCGCCAUGGUCGCCGCAGCCUGCGGCUGCUGCUUCACGGGCGCUCGCGCGCGGGAGCCCCGCAGCAGCCUCCUCCCGGCGGCCGCGGCGCCGCUGCCGCCAGCGCCGAAGCACAGCGGUGUCGUGGAGGGGCUGUCCUGCCGGGACCGGGACUUAAAGAACCCGCGGUGGCCGUCGCUUGACGAUGUCGAGGACGGGGACGAGAGGGAGGAGCCCGAUCCGGCCGCACUGACGCUGGACGACGGAGACCACGACGCGCGGUCGUCGAGCUCAGAGGAGUCGGCCGUGGCCAUCUCCACUGCAAAGCACUUGGCGCCGGGGAACAGCCACGCCGCGAAGAACUGGAUCAGCUGCAUGGCGGCCGGGCGGCGAAUGCUACCGAUCGAGCACGACGGACUUUUGGGUUCUAGGCUUUUAGCGGCGGCGCGGCAUCUCUUAUAUAUACAUGCAGCGAUCGAUCACGGCGGCGUCCCCUCCGAGAUGCCUCCUUGCCUACCUAAAAAACAAGCAUCCGGUGAUCUGCAACUGGAAGGCUCCUUCGAGUCCUUCCAAAUCCAUGGCAGCAGUUGCCUUCUUCUGUUACUAUCUUCCAUAUCAGCGUGGUUAAAUUACUCGCUCACUGUUGGAUCAUUAUUAGGGUCCACGGGAAGUUAAAAAGAAAUUGGCCAAUGCAUGGCUGUAUAGUGGCCUUCCUGUGACUAUCUUCCAUGCAUAUCGCAGGGGCAGGCGCAGUCGGUGCAGAGUUUGAUGAUGCCAUGAUUCUAAUUCCCCGUCACAUCAAAUCUUUAGACGCAUGCAUGAAGUAUUAAAUGUAGACGGAAAUAAAAACUAAUUGCACAGUUUGGUCGGAAUUGACGAGACGAAUCUUUUGAGUCUAGUUAGUAAAUGAUUAGAUAAUAUUUGUCAAAUACAAACGAAAGUAGUACUAUUCCUAUUUUGCAAAAAAAAUUUGGAACUAAACAAGGCCUAGGCUAAUAUCAAUAGAAUGUUUCAUCUCUUAGUUUUCAAGACGUAGAGUUUAAUAUGAAACGGUUCUCUAUUAGUAUAUAGUUUCAUCAUUACAGAUUUACAGUUAUAGAUUUAAAUCUAAAUAAAUCUAUAACUAAGUUAUAAAUGAUCUAAUGCCUAUAAAAUUUUUUAAUAUAAUUUAAGCAUAUAAUAAUUAGCCUACUAUAAAAGUUUUAGUAUGAUUAGAUCAUAGAAACUGCAAAUAUGAAUUAAUUAUAGAAAAGCAUAGACCUAAAGGUACAGCAGAAACUUUGUACUAAAAUAUAUCAUGUUAUAUGUUUAUUGUGUAGAUCUAUCCAUCUGAGUCCAACAAAAUUAAAUUUUUUAUUUUAUGAUUUUUUGUGAUUUACUAUAAUUUUUUAAAGAUUCAGCAAAAUAAAUAAAUAAAAAAAGACAAAACCGCAUUCAAAACCGCCUACAACUAGACCACUGAGGUAAAAUAAAUAGUUUUAGAAGUUGAGGGACGUGAUUUGCCCAAAUUUGGAAUUCAUAAAAGAAAAAACUGACUUUUACAAAAGUGAGCUAAUAUGGACUUUUUCCCAUUGUUAAUGUCAGCCCAAGCAUAUGGACUUUUUCCCAUUGAUGAUGGGUUGGGCCACUCAUCAGCCUAUAUUGUCCUCAUGUGUGAAUAAAGCAUUGGACUCUCCAUUGGGUCCGUGCACGACGAUGUCUUUGGUCACUUUCUCACGACACGCAUCUCACGUGCAUUAUUAUGGCCUUGUUUAGUUCGCAAAAAUUUUCAAGAUUCUCCGUCACAUCGAAUCUUUGGUCGUAUGCAUGGAGCUUUAAAUAUAGAUGAAAAUAAAAACUAAUUGUACAGUUUACCUGUAAUUUGUGAGAUGAAUCUUUUGAGCCUAGUUACUCCAUAAUUGGACAAUAUUUAUCAAAUAAAAGCAAAGGUGCUACAGUAGCCAAAAACCUUAAAUUUUGCCAACUAAACAAGGCCUAUAUAUAUGUCGACGCCGGAAUUUCACAGUCACACGCCACUUCCUGUACGAUGCAAGCACACGCACGUGCCAUCAUGCUCGUACACCAUAGUGGGCCUAGUGGCCUGCAGUUUUCCGCGUGAACUGAGCAGCUCGCUUGCACGGGCGCACCGCGCACAUCACACUCCAUGGCGACGUGUUCUCUAAAUCUAAACAGCGAGGUAUACUUAUACUGUUCAUAUCAGACUAGCUACGGUCAGACUAGCGGCCGAGUCGUAGAUAAACUCGUGUAUGGAUAAAUUUUCUUGUGCAGUGUUCUUUUAGCCUGAAUAUCCCAUACGAUAUUUUUUGGAUGACAAUUCUCCAAUGUCUCAAACCUAAUUCGAAUCUAUCACCACCAUGUUCUGCCUUAAAUACUACUCCCUCUAUUCUAAAAUUAUAAGAUGUUUGACUUUUUAUCACAAGUUUGAUCACUCGUCUUAUUCAAAAAAUUUAUGCAAACAUAGUCAAAUUUAAGUCAUUCUUGAAGAAAUUUUAUUAAUAAACCAAGCCACGAUAAAAGAAGUGAUAUUUUUCACAAAUUUUUUAAUAAGACGAAUGGUCAAACUUGGUGUCAAAAAAAUUAAGCGUCUUAUAAUUUGGGAUGGAUUGAGUAACUGUGUAUAUGAACAAUCAACCAUGUACAAGACAAUUCAUAAAUUAAUUUAGAAUCAAUCCCAACAUCACUUGCUUUAUUUUAAUGUACUUCCUAUAAAUUGUAAGUUAUUUUUGUUUUUUCUACUAUGUAUCUUGAUAUAUACUACUCCUCCGUACUCACAAAGAAAGUCGUUUUGGAAAGGUUUGGGUUAAACAUUGGGAAUAUAAAUCAUAAAUAAUUUUUAAGUUGUUGAGUUUGAAAAUGUAAAAACCAUAUGAAUAGAUUUGUCUUGAAAAACACUUUUAUAAAAUUGUACAUAUACACUUUCUCAUAUAUAUUUUUAUAAAAACAAGGAGUUAAAGUUAGGCUUUGGAGACCGUGUUACUGUCUUAAACGACUUUCUUUAUAAGUAUGGAGAGAAUAUUAUAUCUAGAUACGACAUACCAAAAACUAUAUAUUUAGAAAAAAUAGAACAGAGAAAGUACUAGAAACCAACAUAUUUGUAGUCUUGUACAUGAACAAAUAUCGUGUACUAGUUACUUUAUAAAACUAUUCAUAAGACGCUUUAAUAUUUCUACUAGAUACAUAAUUAUUUUUUAGAUAUAUCCGGAUGCUGCGUAUAUCGAAGUAGUAAAAGUUCUGAAAUUUUUUUGGUUUUCGAUACUUAUAGCAUUUUCGUUUUUAUUUGACAAUUAUUGUCCAAUCAUAUAAUAACUAGACUCAAAAGAUUUAUCUCGUGAUUUACAGGCAAAAUUUACUGCAAGAUCGAUGCGAUAGAGAAUCUUACAAAAUUUGUAGUUUUUUUGGUAAACUAGACAAAGCCCUAGUAGGAAAGCUAAAAACGUUGAAUAAUUUGGAUGGGAGGCGGAGAUUUUCAUCACACGAUCGAUACCAUAAAUAACCCGUUUCUGCAUAUUUAGAUUGAGCUGUCGCUCUCAUGUCUUCUGGUGGAGCCACAGGGUAGCAUCCGCGAAGCACUUCCUGUACCUCUCCAUAGCCGCCGGCUGCAGAGAGACCCCCACCUCUAUCCCGCCGUCGCCACUCCGGCUCUCCGCCACCGCCACUGCGCCGGUCCUCGCCACGGACACGAUGUCCACCUUCGCCGGCCGGCCGAAUCCGAAGUCCAGGUCGUAGACGCGGAACCUCGGCGAGCCGGCCACGGUGAGUAAACCCAUCGGGAGCACCUCCCUGAUGCGGUCCAUCCACGCGUCCAUGCUCGACGUCCCGAUGUCGCGUACAGCUUCGUCGAUGGCGGACGCGACGGCGGCGCACGCGCUGAAGAGCCCUCCUGCGCCGGCCGCGGCCAGCUCGCCCGUUGGUGCCAGCGCGAACGCUGGGCCGACGCAGUUGCCCAGGUACUUCUCCGGCAGGGGAGGCUUCAUCCGCGACCGGUGGUCGACGGGGAAGGCCAUGCAGGCCAUCGAGCCCUCUCCGGCGCCGCCGCCGCUUCCCUCCUUGCCUCGCUGGUAGCACGACCAGACGAGGCCGAAGGUGGCAACGAGAGACGAGCACCGGGGCGGCGCGACGCCGCGCCGCGCAGCCUCGUCGGCCACGGCGUCCUUGACGCGCUUGAGGUCGUCCUUGGACAGUGUGAACGUGGCGAAGAGCUGGUCGGCGGACAUCUUGACGAACUCAUACUCUUCACUGCUCGGCGCGGUUUGGACAAAGGCGUCGUACAGGCGCCUUGGGUCGGCGAGGAGAGUCCGGUCGAUGACAGGCGGCGGCGGCGAUUCGGCGCCGCCACCUCUGCAGGUGGCCGCCCAGGUGUGCAGGAAGUGCGUGGAGCCCGAGCCGUCGCAGGCGGCGUGGUGCAGGGUGACGCCGAUGGCGAGGCCGCGGCGCGCGGGAAGGAGCGUGGCCCGAACGGCGAGCAGCCUUCCGCCCCGCGGCAGCGUCGGCACGAGCGCGGCGAUCUUGGCAACCUCCCGGGGCUCGUCGGUGGCGAGGGCGUCGAAGUGCGCGUCGCCGUCCACGUCGUCGUCGCACUCCGCGACGGUGAAGGUGACGGCGUCUCCCGGGCGGUAGUGCAGCUCGUAGCGGUCGGACGUGCCGGGGGUGAGGCGGACGCGGCCGGCGAGCGGGUAGAAGGCGGCGAGGGCCUUGUGCAAGGAGCUCCGGAGGUUGGAGAUGAUGGCUUCGACGUCAGCGUCGUGGGCGAGGCGGUAGAGGAAGAGGCGCUCGACGGGAUGGGACUGGAGCCAGAAGACGUCGAAGAAGGUGAGCGGGAGGGAAGUCUCCGGCGGUGACGGAGACGGCGGCACGAGGGUGGUGUCGUGUACGUGUACGCGGAGGCGAGGAGAUGUCGAGCCCGUCGUCGAGGAGGCCCCUGCCCCUGCCCCUGCAGGUGGCUGCUGCUGGUCUGGCGCCAUGGCCAUGGAUCAACGUCGGACGAGCUUGCGCGGCAGGCAGUGGGCAGUGGGUGACAAUUGGAGAGCUGAAUAGUUGUAGUGGACAGAUAGAUAUACCAGAUGAAAGGAGAAAGGCCAUGCGAGGUUGAUAUAUAGGGUCAGUGGUGGUUGGCUGCUGAAAAUUUGCCGCCUCCAGGCUCCAGCAGCCUCCGGGUCCCGCCGUACGUCCCGGGCUUGUUCCUAACAGCUACCUUCGCAAUGAUUCCAAUCUUCUGGACGGAACGUAACGUCAUCCAUGACCACAGAAAAAAGCACCUCAAUUUGGGCCUUGUUUAGUUCACCCAAAAUCCAAAAUCUUUUCAAAAUUUCCCGUCACAUCAAAUUUUUCGGUAUAUACAUGGAGCACUAAAUAUAGACACAAAUAAAAACUAAUUGCGUUAGAUGAAUCUUUUAAGGCCUUGUUUAGUUGGCAAAAUUUUUUGUUUUUGGUUACUGUAGCAUUUCGUUUUUAUUUGACAAACAUUGUCCAAUCACGGAGUAACUAGGCUCAAAAGAUUCAUCUCACAAAUUACAGAUAAACUGUUUAGUUAGUUUUUAUUUUCAUCUAUAUUUAAUGCUCCAUGCAUGCGACCAAAGAUUCGAUGUGACAGGGAAUCUUGAAAAUUUUUGCGAACUAAACAAGGCCUAAGCCUAGUUACUCUAUGAUUGGACAAUAUUUGUCAAAUAAAAACAAAAAUGCUACAGUUCCGAAAACCAAAAAAAUUUCAAAAUUAAACAAGGUCUUGUUUUUAAAAAAGAAAAGAGAGGAGAUGACAACUGAACAUCUUUCUCUCUUCCAUCUAUUUUAUAUACUCUCUUAAUUUCUAAAUUAUUAGAUAUUUUGCUUUUUCUAUAUAUAUAUAUAUAUUAUGUUUAGGCAUAUAUUAUGCCUAUAUUAUAUGCAAAAAAUAUAUUUAAAAAGUUAAAACAUCUUAUAAUUUAAAAUUAAAUUAAAGGAGCAGUUUAUUUUCUUUUGUUGCACCACCUUUAAGAGUAUUUAUUGAUAUAUAUCUAUAUUUAGGUCUACCAAUAUGUAUAUCUAUAUUUUAUCUCGCCAUUUAGCUGUCCAUAGUCCACACACCAUCCACUAGCACAUACAAUUAUGUCUUUCUUUAAGCUAUUCAGUAAACCAUAUCAUUCGCUAACAUAUAUUUAGUUGACGAGUGUUAAAUCAUCUACUAACAUAUAAUAUUUAUUUAUAUAAAUAAAUGUAAGUAGUUCAAGUGUCAUUUGCACAACAACGCGCUAAUUUUGUCAUAAGGAGAUGAUUUUUCAACAACUGGAUGGGUUUUCUAGUACAAUAUUUCCUCCGUUCACAAAUAAAGUCAAUCUAACUUGUUCUAAACCAGACCUUUUUAACUUUAUUAUUUAUCAAAAAGAUGCGUUCUAGUCAGACUAAAAAGAAUUGGAACUAAAGUUAACAAAGUUUACUAUGCAAUUGUAUUUGUCAUUGGAGUUGGACUUGACCGUGCUGUUUGCAGGCAAGUUGUGGCAAUAAUCCUUUAGCAUGGUCUAAGACAUAAUACCGUGCGGGGCCGUGUUGUGUCUAGGAUCCCAACAAAAUAAGCAGGACACACCAUAUUUUGUAUUGACACAACUCACAUUUUGAAUCAUGUUUGGACCAACAUGGUAUGAAAAUAGCACAUAAGCACAUUAUAACGCUACAAUAUAGUGCGUACCUCUUCUCUAAUUCUUAAAUGGAUACAAAAAAAUCAUUAUUUUUUAUAAAAAUAGUAUAUGCAAAAUAUAUCUUAUCUUAUACUUUUAUAAAGCUAAACCCCACUAGAGAUUUCUCUCAACAUGCAAGCUAUCCACAUCAACAAUCCACUAAAACUUGCAUUUAUAGCCAACUAGCACAUAUAAUUAUGAUAGUCAUCUCUUCAUCUAUUAACAUUCAUUUAGUUGUUCAUAUUGAUGUGUCAAAUCAUUCAACAAAAUUAAUUUAAGAUAAUUUUAUUCAUAUAACUCUAAAUAUAAAUAGUCUAAUUUCUUUUUAAAUUAUCUGAAAUUCCCACAGUAACACGCGGAGUAUUCUUCUAGUUUUCUAUAUGCAAGUUGACCAAGAAAAUAAGGAAAGAUAUUUUGUGAGCCCAGCUUAAGCCAACACGGUACGAAGGAGACCGGGCAUACUUGCGCUAAAACAAAGAUUUAUGAGCCCAACAUACUCAUGCAAUAAAUAUAUAUUUUAGGGUUGGACACGGAAUCAAGGAGGAGUGCAAAAUCCAUGGUGCACGGAAAAUAAAGCAAAAGGCAUUCUGUUUCAAAUUAUAAAUUCCUUUUGAUUUUUUUGGUAGUUUAAUUUUACUAUGUAUCUAGAUACAACAUACUAUGUCUAGAUACAUAGCAUACUCUCUAUACUAAAAUGGUUAAAACAACUUAUAAUUUGAAAUGGAGGGAGUAUUGGAAAAAACAAAAGGGCAAUUGAAAAAAGAAAGAUAUAUUCAAAAGUGAGAACAUCAAAUAUUUUAGGCUUUGUUUAGUUCCAAAAAAUUUUAGAAAAUCGACAUUGUAACACUUUUGUUUGUAUUUGACAAAUAUUAUCCAAUCAUGGACUAACUAGUCUUAAAAGAUUCGUCUCGUUAAUUCCAACCAAACUGUGCAAUUAGUUUUUAUUUUCGUCUAUAUUUAAUACUCCAUGCAUACGUCUAAAGAUUCGAUGUGAUGAAUAUUUUGAAAAAGAUUAAGUAUUUCAAGACGAAGGGAGUACCUUGCAUGCCUAAACGGUAGAAUUGCACGAAGCACAAGAGUUGCCGGCGGCCCAAAUCUUACCUAUAGUCAAAAUAAGCUUUUUUUGAACUAAAAGCCAAAGUGAAAAUAUGACUGACCUUUGGAGUUGGAGCAAAGGAACGUGCAUUUGUCAAUGAAGCGGAUCGGUGAAAAGAAAUCCGAUAGCUUCGUUGAGAUUCGUCGCCAUAGAAACGGUCCAAAAGAAAGCGACUAUAUAUCUCCUUUCGUAGAAAAAAAAGAGAGUAUCAUUACGAGAUUGGUACAGAUUAUACCUGGGCAUGCAGCCCGAGCCCGUGAGCACGGCCCGAAGCCCGUCAUUUUGGCCCGGCCCUAGCCCGGCCCGGCCCGAAAGUCAUUGGGCUCGGGCUGGCACGGCACGGGGCUGCAGGCCGUGCUUGGGCCGCACUUCAGGCCCACGGGCCGGCACGGCCCGGUCCGUCAAAUAACAACAUUGUAUAAAAUAACUCAUUUUAAUAUCUAAAUCUAUUCUCUACAUCUGUCAUAUGUAUUUGAAUGUGUUCUUUAUACUGAUGAAGUGAUGAAUUGAUGAAUGUGUUUGAAAUAUGCUUUUAAAUCUGUGUUUAUUGAUAUGUUAUUGUUCAACGGGCUAUGGGCUGGCCCGGCCUGACGGGCCCGCCCGGUACGCAAAAUGGCCCACGGGCCCGUGCCUGGGCCGGAGGUCAGGCCCGCAGGCCGGUAAGGCACGGCCCGCAGGGCACGACGGCCCCCCUCGGCCCGUUAGGCAACGUGCCGGGCCGGCCCGGUGUCGUGCCGGGCCGGGCCGGGCCGGCCCGUUGCCCAGGUAUAGUACAGAUCAAUCUUUUAUUUUUUAGAGUCUAGGAACUUAUGCUUGGGAGUAUACAACAUUGUGGGCCUAUUUGUUUUUCCUGGCUCAUAGGCCCAACCAGCCCAGCAGGCUGCAAUGCAACUGCCCCUGCGCCGGCUGGAUCUGCUCGCCGUGGCUUAUAGAAGUUUUGCGACCGUCUUCUCCGUCUCCACGACCGGCUUCAUCGCCCUCUAGAGUCUGGAUCGCACCUCACGCGAGACGUACACCCAUGGCGCUGCGGCUUCUGGGAACCAAGCUUUCAAAGCGAGUCUUGCCAUGUCAUGACCUCUUGAAGGGGCUGAGGCCGCUCCAUGCACGGCCUAUAUUAUAAGACGGCUGUCAGCUCGUCGGUAGGCGCUUGCUUGCUCUGCCUGCUGGAUGCCAUUGCAAUUCAGCCUGUGGCCUAGAUUGUUCCCUGACAGUCAGCAUCUAAAAGUCUCAGGAUUUGAUCAUUGAUUAUUUGAUUACGAUUUCACGCAAAUUCCGCCCAAACAAUCCGGCUUGCGUCAACGGGGUUUCUUCAUUUUUUCAGGUAGAGGACAGCUUCGCCUCUGGUUACCCACCUAGAGCGAAGAGGCUCAUGCCUAGUUCCCUUGCACUAUCUUUCAAAUCUUUUAAUGUUGUCGAAAAUUUCAUGCGUACUACAGCUUCGUAGGUUGCAUUAGGAUUACAUUGCAACUUAAAUAUUGAUGUGCUGGAAGGAUGAUGGGUUCUUUUUUUUUUGAGGAAACAGGAUGAUGGGUUCUCAUCUGCAAUAUUUUUGUUUGCACAGUUCAAUUAGUUAUAUGCAUCAAUUAACUGAUGUGAUCUCUCAUUGUCUGUUUUAUUUUGAUUCUGAUCACAUUUUUCACUUAUCAGGCCCUGCCCGGCACUUCUUUGAUUCAUGGAAAAAGAAACUUUGCUUCAGGCCCUUCUACCACUGAAAACGUUCUGAAGGUAUACUGUUGAACUCACAUUUCUUCCUGGAAGGGCACUCACAAUCCAGACUUUAUCAUAGAGUCUAAAGUUAUUUAUUACCUCGAAUAAUAUGGACUUAGAGUCUUAUUUUUUCUACUUCUUUCUUCAAUAAAUAUGCUGCCACAUCAGCAAAAUAUCAUAAAUAAUAUGUUAAUUAUCUUAGACUCUGUGAUAGAGUCUUGCAUUGUGAGUGCCCUAAUAAUAACAGCAUUAGUUGAACACUUCUCAAAUGACUACCAAGCGUACAGGAGGAACAGAUAAAAACGCUUGUAAGAAGAUUUGUCGGACAUGUUGUUAGGCCAUCCUCAAUGAGAGUUUUAUGACACAGUUUCCAAUACAUCAAUAUUUUAGAAACAGUGCAUAGGAGUUUUAUGAGGAUGAAACUCUCUCUACUCCCAUGAAACUCUUAUCAUCUCCCUCUUCAUUAAUAUAGCGCCACAUCAGCAUAUUUAAUGUGCAUAAAACUCUAAUGUAACUCUCAUUGAGACUGGCCUUACAGACCAUUCUAACGUCCUUGCAUUGUUGGAUAUAGUGUGAUUAAUUAAUUAAUUAAAUAAUAACAUGGAUAAAGUUUUAAUCAGAUUGCUAAAUAACAGCAGUUUCAUGUUACCAAUCUUACUGAAAAGGUUCGUCUAAAGAAAACAUACUAAUAAAAAGAUCUCCUAAGCAAAUAUUUUUACAGAAGAGAUGUCUCGCCAAGAAGUUAACUUUUGAUAGCAACUAUGAUAUAACUUGGUUUAAUGAUUGAUUGACAACUGUCGACAUGCCUCGUUACUUUCAAGACAAGAGAACCUGCUAAGCAUGCUGAAUGGUCCAACUAAUUAGAGCACUUCCAAUGGUUUGACAAUUUUGGUUUGGUAUUUGUUGUUGUUUGCCAACUCCUAAUUGCAAAUGCAAAGGAAAAAAUAUGGCCAUCCCUAAUGGUUUGUCAUUUUGGACUUGGCAAUUACCUAGUGGCGAUCGCUCAGCUGCGUGGAUGCAAUGGCCGCUCGCGUGUUUCUGUCCAGACGCGCGCGAUCUUCAGGGAGGGAUGUAGCAGACUCGAUCGGCGUAUUUUAAUCGCGUUCAGGGAGUGACGACGUAGCAGACUCGAUCUGCGUCUUUGAGUCACGGCAAACCAAUGGCGGCGCGGACUCUAUUUGGCGCGAGGACUCCCUACAACGAAGGAAACGACGCCAAAGAGACCAGGCCGCGCACGGAAUUGACGUAGGAAAACCGGCCGCAAGCGUUUGCCAAUCCAAAAGUCAACUCCCAAAUAUGCCAAGGGGAGCCUCUCAAAUGCCAAGUUUACUAAAAUGGCAAACUCGUUUGCAAAACCGUUGGAGGAGUGAUUUUUACCUUUUUGCCAAAUAACAUAAAUGCCAAAAUUAGAAUGGCAAACCGUUGGAGCAUCUCCAACAGUUAUGCAAUUGGACUUUGCAUUCUUCAAAUUUGCCAAAAACCUUAAAAAUUGCUCUCCAACAGUUUUGCAUUUGACUUAUGCAUUUUGGCAAACUUGGCAUUUGAUGGACCAAACUUGGCAUUUUUGCAUAAGCACAAUGACUUGGCAAUUUUGAUAUCCCGAGAAUCUUGAACUCCUUGUCGUGCCCGUACUCCCCACGUCGCGGUAGUUUCCCGCGAAACGACUCCUCCCCGCGCGCGACUAUUUUCUUUCCCCCGCGCGCCGCCUCCUUUUUUCUACGCGUCGCCUUCUUUUUCCCUUGCGACCUGGAUGCCGCGGUGCAGCCUGGGACUGUUGCCUCGAUCGGAUUUCGACGACCUGGACCAAGCGUCGACGUGGACCAAGCGGCGACGCGCGAGAGAAUUGGCGGCGACGGGCAAAGGAAUUGCGCGCGAUGGACGCCCGCGCGACGCGCGAGAAAAUUUUCCGCGAAGAUGAAAGAUUCUCGGACAAAAAUAGUUGGGUCCACUAUUUUGGGAUAUGCCAAGUCAAAAAUGCCAAACACUUGGAGAUGAACUUAUUUUUCCUUUGGCAAAACGUUUAGGGACUUGGCAAACUCCAACAAAUGGCAAAUUUCAAUUGCAUAACUGAUGGAGAUGCUCUAAGGCAUAAAUAGUAGAAGACUUAGUCCAAAUCCUCAUGCAAAAACAAUUUUUGGAUAUGGAUUAUGUUUCUUUCUUUAUUUUUUGAAGGAUGAUGCAAACUAGUAUUUUAGAUUAGAAUCUGGCUCCUGCUCUGAAAUAAAUAAAGAAGAAUAUUUACCUUUUUCAUCUUGCUCGGUCGGCCUUGUUUACUUUCAAUUUUUUUUUUCAAAAUAAACAUUGUAGCACUUUCGUUUGUAUUUGACAAAUAAAGUCCAAUCAUAGACUAACUAGGCUUAAAAAAUUCGUCUCGCAAAUUACAGAUGAACUAUGCAAUUAGUUAUUUCUUUUAUUUAUAUUUAAUGUUACAUGUAUGUGCCGCAAGAUUCGAUGUGACGGAAAAUCUAAAAAAAUUUGUAAAAUUUUUUGGAACUAAACAAGGCCUAAAUAAUCUUGAACUGAGAAGCUUCUGUGCUGCCGUGUUUGCCGCAGAUGAAUUCGUUCAGGAAGAGCUCAGUGCACCAGGAGAUGAUAAGUGUCCAAAGGUGGAAGCAGUAGAACGAUGAGUGCGAUUAUUGCUCAAGGUAAAUUUGUGCUCUGUACUAGUAUGGUCUUCCAUUUAAUUCUUUUAGAUUCUGAGUGUGUCUUUAUUUCUUCCAUUCACUCUUCACAGUCCGCGCGACAUUGGGAAGUUCCUUGAGCGCCUCUACACCUUGGGAACUUGGAUGUAUUGCAUCGGUACAGUUUGGAUUGUACGUGAAAUCGUCCAACUACGACGCAAGUUUAAGGCUUUGGAUUCGGAUGACCAUUAAACGUGCAAGUUCCAAUGGCCUCUUCUUCCACACCUUACUUAUAUCAUGGUUUGUACUCGAUUCCAUGUAAAGUUUUGUCUCUACCUUUUGGUCAAGACAGACCAGACAUUUUACGUCUAGGAGGAAUUGGAUUCAUUGUUUCUUGGAUCUUAAACACCACAUGUUAUUUUGACCCCAUAUUCCGUCGUCGCAUCCGCAAUGUGGCGGACCACCCAAACAAAGAGCUUACAAAAGCAUCGUGGAGAUCAAAGCAAUUUUGUGUCAGGUCUGGUUCUAGCACAAGUGCAACAUGAGCUCCAUGCAAGAUGCGACGAUAUAACAAGACAUUGAAACUUAGGUGAAUGUCAUCUCCAAGAGACUGAAAAUAUGAAUCCAUAUGGAUAAGUCGGUCUCGGCUAACUGUGUGUGCAAUAUGCAUGCCUAUCAUUGAUCUUAGAUGUAUAUAUAUAUAUAUAUAUAUAUAUAUAUAUAUAUAUAUAUAUAUAUAUAUAUAUAUAUAUAUAUAUAUAUAUAUAUAUAUAUAUAUAUAUAUUAUACUUAAUGUAAGAAAAAUAUGAGAGCACAACAAAAACAAUUUGACAUCUUACAUAUUAUGAAUCCUAUUCAUCGACCGACAAAACCUUUUCACAUAUAAUUGCAAAAGAAAAAAAAAGAAUUGUUCAUCAACCGACACAUUUAUACAAUGAUUUUUUAUACCCUUCAUCCAGUCAUAGCUAGGGGCAUAGGUUAGGGCUACCUCUACCAAAAUGUCAGGACUAGCCUCACCCGGCUGUACCCGACACGAAAAGUUACUGAGUAGUUGGAGAGAAGUUUUAGCAACUUUUAUUUUUAUUUUUAUGAAGGAACUGUUUUACCAAGAUGAUGGAUGAGUUUUUUUCCUUGUUUUUUAAAAAGUCAAAUAGGGAGUUCAUUUAGAGCAUCACCAAUAGUUUUUCUUAAAAAAACAAUUGAUAAAUCAAUGAGUUGUUUUUCAAGUGCCUAAAAAGAAAUAGGCACAUAUGUUUCUUCAACCGUUUUUGAAAUCUCAACCCUAAAAUAUAGGAUAAUUUUGUAUUAAGAAUCCUAAACUAUUUUUAAAUUAUCAUAACCAUUUAUUUUCCUAAGUGCGAAAAGAUUGAGAGUUGAGAUAAGAAGUUGUUAAGAGCAAUUGUUUAAACCUAGCUAAAAAAAUCAAGAUUAGGAGUAGUGGGAACUCUCGGAGAUACUUCUACAAAGUUCAUGGAGUUGCUCGCUAAAGCCGAAAAAACGAGUCAAACCAUUUUAGAUUUGAUCAUGUCUAUUAAAAAUAUUAAUGUUAUUUGGCACCAAAUAGAUUAGAUUUAUUAUAAGGUAGUAUAUUUUCAGUUUAUACGUAUUCGGUAUCACUAUGUACUAAAAAUGGUAUAUGAGGGAGUGUUAUGAGUAUUUUUAUAAAUUUGAUCAAACUAUAGAAUCCCUGAUUUGACUUAGAAAUUAGGAUAGAACUAAAACGGUACUUCUUAAAUAUUAAAGUAUAAGAUAUUUUGUUUUUUCUAGAUAUAUUAAUCUUGCUCUAUAUACAUGUAGUAUGAUAUAUAGGAUAAAAAUGAACGGGGUAUUUUUCGUUGUUGACGGAGAUAGCAGAAACUGUGCCAAAAAAAAAAAAGGGUGUGCAAUCACAAUUCGACAGAGUCGGCACACCUGAUUUCUUUCAGAUACUACACCCGGGCUGAUCGAUCCUCGGAAGAACAGGACACGUAGGAUCGGGUGCGCUCCCACUUUAUCCCAUUCGGCCAUCGUGCCACGAGCUGGCACGGCAGCGUCAACGCUUUUUGACGCGUUCGGCAGCCACCUCGCGUGGGUUGGAGCCAAACUCCACGGCCGCACCACCCCCUGGAGCUCGAGUCGAUGUCGAGCACUCGAGCUCAGGUAAAAAAGCCCAUUUGAAAACUCUGUUCCUGUUUCCACACAGUGAGGCCACGUCGUAGGGUUUUGCUUGCUUCGCCCGGCGGUAAAGCGGAGCGCGGCGACCGCCGGCGCCCGGCCAUGGAGAUCGGGCAGUACCCCGUGAGCAGCUGCUCCAAGGAGCACCAGAAGAUCUACCAGGAGUGGUUCGCGCUCGCGGACGCAGGUCCGAUUCCUGCCCCCCACCCCCUGCUCUCCUCUGCUCUGUUCCCCCUCGAUCCCCAAUCCCCUUCCCACUGUUGUUCGCCUGGCCCUGGAUGUGUGGUCUUCUAAUCGACGGUGUUUGCAGAUGGGGAUGGCCGCAUCACAGGACCCGACGCGAUCAAGUUUUUCGGCAUGUCCAAGCUCUCCCGCCCCGACCUCAAGCAGGUGCGCUGGCUCUCGCUACUAAUCCCCUUCCUGGCUUUGUUCUGCUUGCGGAGCUAUUGGUUUUUAAUGUAUGUGCCAUUUUUGUCUAACCGUGCUGCGAUUCAAGGUCUGGGCUAUCUCGGACACCAGACGGCAGGGGUACCUGGGUUUCCCUGAAUUCGUCACGGCGAUGCAGGUUUUCCCUCGUCUAUUUGAUGUUUUUGUUGUGCUCUCUGUCUCCACGAGGUGAUUUGGGUUAUUGUUCGUCACUAAUGGGCUUGUUUAAAUUGGCAGCUAGUCUCUCUGGCACAAGCAGGGAAUGAGAUUACUCAAGAUAGCCUUAAGCGAGAUGGUUGUUGCUAGCCUCCAAAUCAAGUCUAUUUGAUCGCAUUAUGCUUAUUUAUUUACUGCUAACAAGUGUAAGGUUAUAUCUGACAGAUUUGAUAAGUUUGAAUCCACCUGUUAUGGAAGGUUUGGAUGCCCUACUUGCGGUAAUGUAUUACUGUGUCCUUAUGGUGUUUCUUUAUCAAAUUUGUGCUUUUAUCUCAAUGCCUUGUAUUAACUACGAUGGCAACUGCUUUCAGAAAUCUAAGCAUUUGGUGAAGCGUGUUGAUCCAGAAAUGGAUGGUAAGUAAUGCACUCUUUAACAGGAGAUUCAUGCUUGGGGGGAAAUCAAUGAUACAAACCUAUUUUUUUAAUCCAUGCAGGAUAUCCUCAAGAACAAUCUACUUUAACGAACAAAUGGUUCAGCUCAAAGUCAUCAAAGAAGGUAAUACUCACAAUUUUCUUGUGACUUCUGUAUGCUCCUAGAAUAUUGCUCUUGUGAAUAUCUAUUGCAUACCAGCACCAAAACAACUUUUGAGGAAAAUUCUACUAUGACCUUAGUUCAGUUUUCUGUCAUUUUUACGUUAGUAAAAGGAAAAGGCAGCAAGUUUACUUGUUUAGCUUGUGUAAGCCGCCUUAGCUGGUUACCUAUUUAUUUUAACUGUAUCUGGUCUGUUAACGAGCUUGAAAACAGUAUGAUACAUGUAAGUUGUCUAAAAUGAAGCCCACAGUCCACCAAAAUGUUUGUAAGACAACAUAGCUCUCAGUAAUUGUGUUUCUGUUGUGCAUUAUUAACUUUCCAGAUUUUUUUCCACCAAUAUUAAGAACUUUCCCUAUAUCAAUAAAUGCUGUGAGUUGACCCUAAUUUUGUCAAUGUCACAUUUAUCAUUAUUGCUGAUCUUUCCUUUUAUGGUGUUACAUAUAAACAGAUACCUCUGACUGCUGUUACCUCUGUCAUCGAUGGCUUGAAAAAACUUUAUAUCGAAAAACUGAAGCCUUUGGAAGUUACAUACAAGUUCAAUGAUUUUGUCUCCCCUUUGCUGGUACACACUGUAUUCCCAGUUUCUGGAUACGUUAUGAAACAGAAAUGCUACUUUCCUGUGUCCUCAUAUGCCAUUAUUAUUGCUGUUUCCUUGUCAUGUUGUUCAAAAUAACUCCCUUUCUUGCAGAAUAUUGUUAAUCCUUUUUUUUUGGUGUUGCAGACAAGUAGUGAUUUUGAUGCAAAGCCAAUGGUUAUGCUCUUAGGUCAAUAUUCUACUGGUAAAACAACUUUUAUUAAGCAUCUGCUAAGAACAAGCUAUCCAGGUUUAUAUCUACCAGAUGUACCUCUAGUUUCCCAGGUUUGUUCAAGUAACGUGCUGUCUGACAGUUUAUGUUUUGCAUUUGCAGGUGCCCAUAUUGGACCAGAGCCAACAACAGACAGAUUUGUAGUUGUCAUGGUAAACUGAGCAAAACUUAGGAUUUCUCUUUGUAGCUAUAAUAGGUGCAUCAAAUGAUUUAAACUUCUUAUUUGAUUUGUGAAGGAAUUUUAGUUGAAAGUUGAAACGAUGAACGGAUGAAGCAAUCCAACAUUUUUCUCGAAACUUUGGAUAGGGAAUUUACAUCGUUAGUUACCUAUGCACCCCUUCUAAGAUGUUGGCUUUACAGAUGAUAGAUAAUGACACAGAAUGGAUAUGACUUUAUGCCUUUGAGUGUCGUCACAGUUUUUCCAGACAUAGUUCGUGAAAUCCUCAAGAGCAUGCAGAGUUUUCUACAUAGUAAACAGAAUGCAAAGAGUAUAAGCUGAUCUGGGUUCUCUAUUUGGGGUACAAGUAUUACAAGGAAGAAAAAAUAGCGAUGGUGCUGAUGCCAUAAUUUUCUUAGGUGCUACGGCCUAUGCAAAUUUACCAGUCUGUCAUUUCUUUGGUGGUGGUGGUGGUUGGGGGGGGGGGGGUCUUCCUGUUGCCAACAAGAACCAAAAUUAGUGUUUUUGGGAUGCAUUGCUUGUUCAUUUCUAUAAGAUGUUUGGAUCUGAUUGUCUUUCUAUGCUUUGUGAAAAUACUGUCAAUUUUCUGGUUGACAGCUGUUGCGUUGUGAUUGGCAGCCUGCACCUUUUUCUCUAAAUUUUCUCUGAAAUGCUGAGCUGCAAUUAUAUCGCCAGCUAUCAUAUUUAUGAUUGUUUCUGAUUCCUUGGGGUUUGUUGGGAAUGUUAGCUAAUGUAAAAGGUGGUAAAAGAAGCAUAGUGCACAUAUCUCCAAAUCAAUAUUAAGUUUGAGUUCAUCAUCGCUAGAUUUAUGCAAAUUCUUUCUUGUGAAACUUGCAAUAGCUACUAAGCAUCUAUUGGCACACUCUUUGACCAAUUUCAGUUAUUUCAACGCAACUGCAGUAUAAGCAGUAUGAAUUGCCUGUGUGCCAUCUAUUACAUUACCACAUGUUUUAUACCUACAAUACUUUCCCCUUUCUGUCGCUCCAGUUAACUUAUGUAUGCUUGCCAGUCAGGACCUGAUGAAAGGACUAUUCCUGGAAAUACUAUUGCUGUUCAAGCUGACAUGCCUUUUAGUGGUCUUACAACAUUUGGGACUGCAUUUUUGUCCAAGUUUGAGUGCUCUCAGAUGCGACAUCCAGUAAGAUUUAAUUUUGAUGCAAGUGAAAACCUAAAAGGCAUGUAAUCUGGAAACUGAUACCAAACAUUUACCUUGAAGCUGCUAGAGCAUAUCACAUUUGUUGACACACCUGGUGUUCUUUCUGGUGAGAAGCAACGCACGCAACGCAGCUAUGAUUUCACUGGCGUGACAUCAUGGUUUGCUGCGAAAUGUGAUCUUAUUCUUCUUCUGUUUGAUCCUCAUAAGCUUGAUAUCAGCGAUGAGUUCAAACGUGUCAUUGGAUCAUUACGUGGACAUGAUGACAAAAUUCGUGUAGUUUUGAACAAGGCAGAUCAAGUAGACACUCAACAGGUAGUAUUCGUGGAUCUUUCUGUGUCUUAAAUUCUGAUGGGGCAUUUUGCUUUUUUUUGCUCUAUGUAUUAAUAGCCCUUCUCUCAUGACAUGCAGCUUAUGAGAGUUUAUGGUGCAUUGAUGUGGUCUCUUGGGAAAGUAUUGAAUACACCUGAGGUUUCACGUGUUUAUAUUGGGUAACUUCUGAUACCUUGAUCUUCUUUAUAGCUAAAAUAUUUUGUGAUAGAUUACAUAAUAUCUUCAAAUUGCAACUUCAGAAUUUACAACUAGAGUAUUGAUGUAUUUCAUUUACCCUAUUAAAGCUUGACUCGGGUAUUACUGGAUUUCUCCAUUACUUAAACAAUAGUAUAUUUGAAUCUUGUUCUGGUAUUGACCUUAGAACAUUCAAGUGCCUGCAAAUCAUUCAAGUAACUUCCAUGUUUGUUUGUAGAUCAUUCAAUGACAAACCAGUAAAUGAAUCAGCUGUUGGUCCACUUGGAAAGGAACUAUUUGAGAGAGAGCAAGAUGAUCUCCUUUCUGAUCUCAAAGAUAUCCCCAAGAAAGCCUGUGACCGUCGGGUAAAUCUUUUCUUAUUUUUUUCCAUGUGUUUUUUCAGUCCUAACUAAUCAGUAUUUGCAUAUUAACAUCAGUAUUCUGUGCCUUGCAGAUCAAUGAAUUUGUUAAACGUGCUAGAGCUGCCAAGAUCCAUGCUUAUAUAAUAGGCCAUCUGAAGAAGGAGAUGCCUACAAUGAUGGGCAAAGCAAAAGCCCAACAACGACUCAUAGACAAUCUGCCCGAUGAGUUUGCAAAGGUAUGUAUUUUGAGGUUCUUAAGUUCUCUAGUCGAUAUAGGAUCAUUGUAGAUUGAAAAGGCGCAGAGGUCCUUCCUUAUGUUAGGUCCUCUUUUUUCUGUCAGAUGUCCUCUUACCAUGUGUUUGUGUGGGUGGGUGGUGGUGGUGGGGUGGGGGGUGCGUAUCAUGGUCUCGUGGCUUGUUUCAUGUAGCCAGCUUGCACCUUAAGUUUCGGUUAUUUUACUACUUUCACACAUUCUAAAAUAGUGACAGUAAAAGUUGGUUGAUUUCGCCAAUGGUGUGAAUUCUGGGCUCUUCCUUUUUCAUUUCAGUUGCACAGUUCUCUCUUUUCUUUUACUGGAUGCCAUGUGAAGCAUUCCCCUUACAUAUUCUUUCCAUAUAAUUUUCAUGCUCUAAUCAACAACUGCUGACUGGCGGAAUAGGUGCAACGGGAAUACCACCUUCCGUCGGGAGAUUUUCCUUAUGUGGAGCACUUCAAAGAAGUCUUGAGUGGGUAUAGCUUUGACAAGUUUGAGAAGGUCAAGCCCAAGAUGAUACAGGCCGUGGAUGAUAUGCUUGGAUAUGACAUUCCAGAACUUCUCAAGAACUUCAGAAACCCAUACGAGUGAACCCAUACAGGCAGCUGAAAGAUGACUUCGAUCUGCACCAGGAUGAGGGAUUGAGUGGGGCAUGGAUUGAUGCUGCAUUCCAUAACUUUGGAAUUGUCUGGCAACGUGAAUCAUCGCAGUGAAGGUCGUGGGGCGUUCAUUGUCAUCCAUGCUUCACCAUUAUAUAACUGUAUGCAUAAGAAUCGUAGAUCCAUUGCUCAAGCUUUCACCAGACAUCUGGUCAUGUAAAAUCGACUAAACAGUGAUAUUAGUGUUAAAGAAUAUACUAUUUAUUCUCAUUAUUUCUUCAAAUGAGUAUUUAUUCAUUUUGGAACAGCUGGGUAAUGUGGUUCGGUCUAUCCAUGAAGAAUAUUCUGACCACCGUGGGGUGUUGCCCUGAACUUGGCUCCUUGUUUUGCUUAUAUAUAGUUAUAUGUGGAUUUGUUCAUGAAUAUCAUGUAUGUUGUGUCACUGCAAAAUCAGAUAUUUUUUGAAGGACGAACCUUUGAGAAAUUAACUCAAUAAAUGCCUUAUUUGUUUGGCUGAUAAGUUGUCCUGAGAUUGGAUAAUACUAUUGUUUUUCUGCCACAAUAGAGCCAAAGAAUGAAGUGAAUUUCAUGUUUCUAUAUAGCCUUGCUACUGACGGGCGGUAGCUAAAGCUGAGCUUAAAUUUGUGCGGGAGCGUGACUGUGUAUAAUUUAGACUUGUUUAGCAGGGCUCUUCUAGAGGAGCCACAACCGUUUCAGUGAAGCCACAAAUUGUGGUUUCGCCAAAAUGGCUUCAACUCAUCUGCUUUUUACUUAAAAAAACAGUUUCUUAAAAAAAAAUUUAGCAGGACUCCUCUGUAGGAGUCAGAGCUGGAGCCAGAGAAAAACCUUGUCAAAAACAGGCCCUUAUUGAACUACAUUUCUAUGGAAUUUAGACUAGACAUACCCUAAGAAUUAUGACCAAAGAUAGCAUGUCCAAACAUAGCUAUCUUUACAUCCGGGACCAAAAAAAAAACUGAACCGACGCUAAAGCUCGGAAGUCAAACAUUCUAAAAAAAAAGCUUGGAAGUCAAACGCAGCUGGCACAAACCUGAGUCCCGCCGACGCCGGCAGCUGCCUCUCUCAAUCAUUGAAAACGUGGCAAACACAAACCACUACCACACCUCUCUAAAAAAACGAAGCAAAAAUGUAUAUGUUUUUAUAUAAAAAAAAACACACAGAAUGACGACACGGGACACGGCGACACGCCGUCACCGAACGCGCAAGUGUCUCCGGCGACCGACCCGCGGCCAGCGGCCUUGUCCAGUAGUACUCCAGUCCAACCCCCCUCUCCCGCGCCACGCCGCGCCGCCGACCCCGUCCGCGCCCCGCGGCCCGCGGGUUCGGCAUCCCGCCCCCACCUCCUCACCAAACUCCCCCAACCCGAUCCCCCCGUCCUCGCCCUCGCCCUCGCCUCGCGCCCCCCCGCACCGCGCUUGCGCAUUUGGCUUCUUCGCGGCUCCAGCGACCCCGUCCCCCGUCCCCGUCGGGCACCAACCCAACCCAGUACCCAACCCAACGCUCUCCUCGCUUCCCCUCCUUUUCCUCUGCCCAACAAUUGAUAGCUCACCUCACCUCACCUCCGCACCCGCUGUUUCGUGCACCGCACUUCACCCCCCACCAACCUCUCCCCCUCAAAAACUAUCCACCCCACCCCCACCGUCCACCCCCACCUCACCCCUACCCGCCGACGAGCGCGAUCGAUUGAUUCGCUUCGAGCCGGGCGGAGGAGGAGGAGGAGGGAGCGCCGGGCGGCGGGGGGAACCCACCAGAUCCGGCGGCUAUGAUGAAGUCGCUGCUGCCGCAGAGCCAGCUGCGGCGCUCGUCGGCGGCGGCCGCGCGGUCGUCGUCGGGCGGCGGCGCAGCGGGGGGAGACGGGGCUAUGGCCGACGGCGGCGGCGCGGGCCCGCGGGCGCCGGCCUCCUCCACCUUCUGGUUCCUGCUCCACGCGCUCUGCUGCCUCAUCUCGCUCUUCCUCGGCUUCCGCUUCUCGCGGCUCCUCUUCUUCCUGCUCUUCUCCACCACCGCGCUCUACCACUCCACCACCUCGUCCUCCUCGGCCGCGGUCCUGCGCGCCACCACGACUACCACCACAACGACGACAACCACGACGACGACCACCAACACCUUCACGCUCUCCUUCGCCGCCGCCAACACUCCCCCUUCCGGCCCCGCUAACCGCACCGCGCUGGAGGCGGCGGGCGACAACAAGGGGGCGGCGUCGUCGGGGAACCCGCAGAGCCACGUCGUGGUGGGGAGGCACGGGAUUCGGAUCCGGCCGUGGCCGCACCCGGACCCCGUCGAGGUGAUGCGCGCGCACCGGAUCAUGGAGCGCGUGCAGGAGGAGCAGCGGCGCUGGUACGGCGUCAAGGAGCCCAGGCAGGUGCUUGUCGUCACCCCGACCUACUCCCGUGCGUUCCAGGCGCUCCACCUCACCGGCCUCCUCCACUCCCUCCGCAACGUGCCGUACCCGCUCACCUGGAUCGUCGUCGAGGCAGGCGGCACCACCAACGCCACGGCGUCGAUGCUGGCGCGCUCUGGCCUCACUUUCGUCCACAUCCCCUUCCCUGACCGCAUGCCUCAUGAAUGGGCCGACCGCCACGCCACUGAGAACCGGAUGCGCCUCC